GACGAACGCUGGCGGCGUGCCUAAUACAUGCAAGUAGAACGCUGAAGGAGGAGCUUGCUUCUCUGGAUGAGUUGCGAACGGGUGAGUAACGCGUAGGUAACCUGCCUGGUAGCGGGGGAUAACUAUUGGAAACGAUAGCUAAUACCGCAUAAUAGUAGAUGUCGCAUGACAUUUGCUUAAAAGGUGCAAUUGCAUCACUACCAGAUGGACCUGCGUUGUAUUAGCUAGUUGGUGAGGUAACGGCUCACCAAGGCAACGAUACAUAGCCGACCUGAGAGGGUGAUCGGCCACACUGGGACUGAGACACGGCCCAGACUCCUACGGGAGGCAGCAGUAGGGGAUCUUCGGCAAUGGACGGAAGUCUGACCGAGCAACGCCGCGUGAGUGAAGAAGGUUGUCGGAUCGUAAAGCUCUGUUGUAAGAGAAGAACGAGUGUGAGAGUGGAAAGUUCACACUGUGACGGUAUCUUACCAGAAAGGGACGGCUAACUACGUG
This 495-nucleotide ribosomal RNA is filed under the name uncultured bacterium. RNAcentral's name for it is "partial 16S ribosomal RNA". It matches the Rfam family "Bacterial small subunit ribosomal RNA", at positions 28 to 507 of the family's 1533-position model. The record is from RNAcentral.